This 657-nucleotide ribosomal RNA is filed under the name Romanomermis nielseni. Its description in RNAcentral is "small subunit ribosomal RNA". The record is from RNAcentral. Lineage: Eukaryota; Metazoa; Nematoda; Enoplea; Mermithida; Mermithidae.
GCUUAAAAAUAUUAUUUGCUCUUAAAAUAAAUUCAUUUAAAAAUUUAAGAAUAAAAAAUUAAACAAUUUAAUUUAAUUUAAUAUUAUAAAAUUUGGUUAAUAAUAGUGCCAGAAUCCUCGGUAAUACUUUAUAAUUUGUAAUAAAAUCUUUAAUUUAAUGUUAAAAUUUAUGACCUUUUUAAAAUUUUUAGUAAAAUAAUCAUUAUUUUAAAAAAUUUUUAACUAAUAUAAAUAGUGUAAAUAACUUGGAUUAGAUACCCAAUUAAUACUAAUUAAACUUAUUAAAGAACUUAUUUUAAUUUAAAACCUAAUUUAGCUGGCAAAACUUAAAUUAUUUGGGAAUUUUGAGAGUAACCGAUAAUCCUCGUUAAUUUUAUUUUAUUUUACUCUAGUAUAGCCGAAUAAAAAUAAUUAAAUUUUUAUAAAAAUUUUUUUUAAUUUCAGGUCUUUAUAAGAUAAAAAUAAAUUUCUUGAAGUUUAAUUUUUAAAAUAAGAAAUUUAAAAUUAAUUUUUAAUUGAAUAAAACUAAAAAGUAAAAUUUUUAAAAAAAAAUAAUUUGAAUAAAAAUAUUGAGUUGGUACAAAUUACCCGUCACCUGAAUUUUAUAGUUGAGCAAGUCGUAGUAUAGUAAGUUUAUUGGAAGAUGAACUUUAUUAA